AUCAUCCAACAACAUGGAUCCUCUCCUCUGCAUGCUCCUAUAUCACUUACUCCACUGGGGUUGAGGUCCGGGGACUGCAAUGACCAUGGGAUGAGCUUGAUUCAAUAUCUGCAGUACUCCAUAGAAAGAAAAUUCAAGAGAUUACAAAAACUUGGAAAUGAAGCUGCAUCCCGGAAUGCAUCGUUUUCCGCCUUUACGGCCCACCAAACGUAACUGUGCUCCUUUGGUGCCGGAUCAUGAAUCAUGGAAAGUGAUUGGGAAUGAGACCACUUGGGUCAGCGACCACUCGAGGUAUGACCGCUAAACAGGACACAUUGCCCCCAACCUAGCUUGUGCCGAGAUGACCGCUCAUAUCACUCGGAAGGAAUGAGGAUGGUCCCGUUUAAGAUUACAACGUCCGGUGUCGAUCGUCAAUCGCACAGAGUCUCGUCAGCUCAUGUCAUUUGUCUUUAGCACACUGUGAUAUUAACAACCUCCUUCCAAGACUCUGAAUUCCUGGAGGAGGCAACACAUCAUGAGCUGACUGACGAGGUUUGGCGGCUCGGAUGACGUUGCCACGUCCAGGAAAAUACACAUGAAUGUUAAUGAUGCGCUAUAUAGAUAGGUGAAAAUAUCCUGCUCAUUUCAAAAUGUUAUGGAUACAAGUGGCCGAAAUGAGUUUUCUCUGCGGGGUGUCUGGGCUCUUCCUUAGAGACAUGUACGGUGAGAAGCCCGGUUUUCCGAGAGGGGGCUCAGUAUAGCUGCUCUUCAACAUUGAGAUGAGGCAGAUGAGGGGGUUUGGGGAUCUGAUUUGAUACCUCUUAGACGCCUCUCUGGUGAGGUAUUUUGGGGCACGUUCCACGGGGAGGAGGGCCAGGGCACACUGGAGAGAUUCCGGUUACCCUGGAAACGCUUCAGCAUCCCCUUGGAAGAGUUGGAUGAUGAAGUGGCUGGGGAGAGGAAGCCUGGGCUUCUCUGCUAUAGCUGCUGCCCCCACGAUCCGCUCCUCGGAAAAGCAGAGGUAAAUAGAUGGAUGGCUGGAUUUGAAAAUGUUAUGGAUAUAGUAGAGUAUAUAAUGUAAUGUAUUAUAAUAUGUGGUUGUAUAACAGAACCGAUAAUUACUGUAUUGACUUAUCGCUCGAUGAGAGAAAUGGACACAAUAAUUUUUUAUUGACUUGAUAAAUUGUUUACAUACCUCAUCAACAUUCAGUCGGCUGCUUCGUUCCCUCCCAUCAGUCACUGUGCUUGCUGCUGUGUUGGUACUCACUUAUGCAUUGCAUGCUGACAGCGGAACGACCUUUAAAAACCGUUUAAAUGGUUUGACUCGACUGUUCCUAUCCGGUUCGCAUAUGUCCCAUCAGUUCAUCGUCACACGAAACUUUUUUUCUCAUGAGGCCCAGCAGUGAGCCGUAGCACUAGUAAUGGUCAAGUAGUGCUAAUGCUGGCCGGCACAACCAUGCAUUCGGCUACCUAUGCGGCAUUUAAAAGUGAAAGUCUGCAGCUGCAUGUUGUUCAUUUAAUUUCAAAUCUAUUGUGGUGGUUUUUGGAGUCCAAAAGCUCAGAAAUGUGUCAUCUCCCAAUAUUUAUGAUCCUCACUGCAGUUAGCUCCCCGGGAACCUAUGAUUGCAUUCUAAAUAACAAAAUAGAUUGUGGCUAAAUACAGGUACAGAUUUCUUAGUCAUUGACUGAGAUCAAUUUUAUGCAAGAAGAGAAUCAGGGAAAAAAAAAAAAAAAAAACAAGUCAAUACCAGUACAUCAUCAAGUCUCACAUGAACAAUGAACUGUUUUUCGUGCUUUUUUUCUGCGUUUGUUUUUGUGACACUUAUUCCAAAAAGGCUUUAGCCUAAGUUUGUUGUCAUGAUUCUGUUGAGCACCUUUUGCACCCCCACGUCAACACCCCUUAAUGAUUCCUCCAGAUUGUCUGUUUCUUCUUUUAUUGUGACGAUAAAUCUGAUGUAACAAGCUGAAAACAGCCAUAAAUCUGGACUGGGGCUCAGAUUGCAACGCACCAAUCCUCCUGGGGGGAGCGCCGUAAAAGCGCCGAGUGUGUGUGACAGUGUUAGUGUUGUUAUUGUGGCCUGGCAACUUUUUUUUAUUUCUAAGCCAACACUUAACGUCAAGCAGAUGAUUGCCGUGUUGUCAGGGGCUGAGAGACAGACUCACAAACAAAAGUAAAGAAUGAGUGUUAAUAUUGGUAUUUACAUAUCAGAGAGACGUGUCAUCUGAGAGGAGACCAAGGGCAGCAAGAAAAUGAAGCAGUUUACAGCAUGUUAGAAACAAAUAAAAAUAAAAAGUGAACAGACAAAUAUUAUCCAAGAGGAGACUUCGGCCAGCAAGAAAAUGAGCCACUUUACUUGAGUUUGCCAAAAAAUGAGAAUGGGCGCGUGAAUAACAUGUAUUAACUCUCCAAUAAGGAAAAUACUCUUCUCCAAGAAGAGACUAAGGGAAGCAAGAAAGUGGACAUUACAAGACGUGCAAACAAGCAACAAAAUUAGAGAACAAAUGCAUAUGACAGUGUUACUAUUUUCAUUGUAAUAAAUAAAGAUAUUUACUCCUCAGUAAAGGCGGAUCAAUCUUUAUCUGAGAGGGACAAAGUGCACAAGAAAGUGGAGUACUGAGAGAUGUAUAGAAUGAGUGGAAAUACAGGUAUUUACAUAUACUCUAGGGAAGCAGAAUAAUUCAACAAGCCCUGCAAGAAUUGAAACAACCAAAAAUAGAACGAGGGUACUGGUGUUAAUUUUCUGGUGAAAGUAUGUGAGAAUGUGAGAGGAGACUAAUGGCAUCAGAAAAAUGAACUGCUGCAAUAAAUGCAGAGCAAGAAAAUUAAAACCAAAAGGAAAUGAACGAGUGUUAAUACAGGUAUUUACGGGGGAGACAACUCUUAUCUGAGAUGAGACUGAGAGGCAAGAAAAGUUUUCUUGUUUCUAACAAAUAAGGAGAAAGGUAAAUACUUCUUUGUAAGGAGAUAAUUAUUAUUCACGAAGAGAACCUGCUUUUCUAUUGACCUUAAUCUCCCCUUGGAUAAAAUAUGUCUUCUUACCGAGGUGUCAAGUCAAGUCAGCUUUACUGUCAAAUAUGUUCUAUGUUCAAGCACAGAUGAAUAUGUUUAUGGGUAUGUUUAUCCUCCUCUUUGUUGCAUUUCAGCCUUCUGUUUUCCUGUUGCCCUUAGUCUCCUCUUGGGUAAACUGUCUCUCUUUUCCCGAAAGAAAAUUUGUCUUUUUUUUUUUGUUUUUUUAAAGCAGUAAUGUUUCAUACUGCCCUUAGCCUCCUCUUAGAGAGAAGUCAUAUCCUUUCCGAGAAGUAAAUACCUACCGGUAUAUAAUUACCCUUUGUUUUCUAGCUGCCCUCAGUGUCCUCUUGAAUAAAACGUGUCUUACAGAGAAUGACAGUUUUAUCUUGGUCGUCCUCCCCUUUUGACAGUGUUAUUUUGCAACACUACAUUUUCUUGCUGCCCUUAGUCUUCUCUUUGGAUCAAAUUUGUCAUCACAAGCUGAUAUCUCACUAAGCGAGGAAUGCUUGCAACGUAGCAAAUUUUGGGUUUUCGUCAGGGUUCAUAAAAGGUUCCAAUGAUGCUUGCAGACAGUUUUUACCUGAUGCAAAUAGUUUGUCUUGUUGUGAAUAAAUUUGAACAUGUUCAAAAUUUCUAUGAAAAUGUUGAAAUUUGAACCCAAACCCAAAGUUCGUUAUGUUUACAAGCGUCCGCAAACAAUUGUCGCUCAGCGAGAUACCAGGUUUACUGACUAAGCAUACUGAUAUGUUACUAUAUUACUAUUAAAGUAUGAUUUAUGACAUGAAUCCGUUUUCAUAUGAGUAUCCCAAAGAACUUGAGGGAUUGAGGCCAACGAGUCUGUUGGAAAUAAGAGAGUAUAAUUGUGCUGGCGGUAAAAAAUGUAAAAUAAUAAA
This is a long non-coding RNA of Hippocampus comes (tiger tail seahorse), 3882 nucleotides long. RefSeq lists it as uncharacterized. The transcript is spliced from 3 exons. The record is from RefSeq and is a predicted model, not a curated record. Lineage: Eukaryota; Metazoa; Chordata; Actinopteri; Syngnathiformes; Syngnathidae.